AUAGGGGAGCCGCAGGGAAACCGAGUCUUAAUUGGGCGUUAAGUUGCAGGGUAUAGACCCGAAACCCGGUGAUCUAGCCAUGGGCAGGUUGAAGGUUGGGUAACACUAACUGGAGGACCGAACCGACUAAUGUUGAAAAAUUAGCGGAUGACCUGUGGCUGGGGGUGAAAGGCCAAUCAAACCGGGAGAUAGCUGGUUCUCCCCGAAAGCUAUUUAGGUAGCGCCUCGUGAAUUCAUCUCCGGGGGUAGAGCACUGUUUCGGCUAGGGGGCCAUCCCGGCUUACCAACCCGAUGCAAACUGCGAAUACCGGAGAAUGUUAUCACGGGAGACACACGGCGGGUGCUAACGUCCGUCGUGAAGAGGGAAACAACCCAGACCGCCAGCUAAGGUCCCAAAGUCAUGGUUAAGUGGGAAACGAUGUGGGAAGGCCCAGACAGCCAGGAUGUUGGCUUAGAAGCAGCCAUCAUUUAAAGAAAGCGUAAUAGCUCACUGGUCGAGUCGGCCUGCGCGGAAGAUGUAACGGGGCUAAACCAUGCACCGAAGCUGCGGCAGCGACGCUGAUGCGUUGUUGGGUAGGGGAGCGUUCUGUAAGCCUGUGAAGGUGUGUCGUGAGGCAUGCUGGAGGUAUCAGAAGUGCGAAUGCUGACAUAAGUAACGAUAAAGCGGGUGAAAAGCCCGCUCGCCGGAAGACCAAGGGUUCCUGUCCAACGUUAAUCGGGGCAGGGUGAGUCGACCCCUAAGGCGAGGCCGAAAGGCGUAGUCGAUGGGAAACGGGUUAAUAUUCCCGUACUUGGUGUUACUGCGAAGGGGGGACGGAGAAGGCUAUGUUGGCCGGGCGACGGUUGUCCCGGUUUAAGCGUGUAGGUGUGUGUUCCAGGUAAAUCCGGUUCACUUUAACACUGAGGCGUGAUGACGAGGCACUACGGUGCUGAAGCAACAAAUGCCCUGCUUCCAGGAAAAGCCUCUAAGCAUCAGGUAACAUCAAAUCGUACCCCAAACCGACACAGGUGGUCAGGUAGAGAAUACCAAGGCGCUUGAGAGAACUCGGGUGAAGGAACUAGGCAAAAUGGUGCCGUAACUUCGGGAGAAGGCACGCUGACACGUAGGUGAAGUGAUUUACUCAUGGAGCUGAAGUCAGUCGAAGAUACCAGCUGGCUGCAACUGUUUAUUAAAAACACAGCACUGUGCAAACACGAAAGUGGACGUAUACGGUGUGACGCCUGCCCGGUGCCGGAAGGUUAAUUGAUGGGGUCAGCGCAAGCGAAGCUCCUGAUCGAAGCCCCGGUAAACGGCGGCCGUAACUAUAACGGUCCUAAGGUAGCGAAAUUCCUUGUCGGGUAAGUUCCGACCUGCACGAAUGGCGUAAUGAUGGCCAGGCUGUCUCCACCCGAGACUCAGUGAAAUUGAACUCGCUGUGAAGAUGCAGUGUACCCGCGGCAAGACGGAAAGACCCCGUGAACCUUUACUAUAGCUUGACACUGAACAUUGAGCCUUGAUGUGUAGGAUAGGUGGGAGGCUUUGAAGUGUGGACGCCAGUCUGCAUGGAGCCGACCUUGAAAUACCACCCUUUAAUGUUUGAUGUUCUAACGUGGACCCGUAAUCCGGGUUGCGGACAGUGUCUGGUGGGUAGUUUGACUGGGGCGGUCUCCUCCUAAAGAGUAACGGAGGAGCACGAAGGUUGGCUAAUCCUGGUCGGACAUCAGGAGGUUAGUGCAAUGGCAUAAGCCAGCUUGACUGCGAGCGUGACGGCGCGAGCAGGUGCGAAAGCAGGUCAUAGUGAUCCGGUGGUUCUGAAUGGAAGGGCCAUCGCUCAACGGAUAAAAGGUACUCCGGGGAUAACAGGCUGAUACCGCCCAAGAGUUCAUAUCGACGGCGGUGUUUGGCACCUCGAUGUCGGCUCAUCACAUCCUGGGGCUGAAGUAGGUCCCAAGGGUAUGGCUGUUCGCCAUUUAAAGUGGUACGCGAGCUGGGUUUAGAACGUCGUGAGACAGUUCGGUCCCUAUCUGCCGUGGGCGCUGGAGAACUGAGGGGGGCUGCUCCUAGUACGAGAGGACCGGAGUGGACGCAUCACUGGUGUU
This 2079-nucleotide ribosomal RNA is filed under the name Salmonella enterica. RNAcentral describes it as "partial 23S ribosomal RNA". It matches the Rfam family "Bacterial large subunit ribosomal RNA", at positions 657 to 2716 of the family's 2925-position model. The record is from RNAcentral. Lineage: Bacteria; Pseudomonadati; Pseudomonadota; Gammaproteobacteria; Enterobacterales; Enterobacteriaceae.